This 327-nucleotide unclassified non-coding RNA is filed under the name Hevea brasiliensis (rubber tree). The record is from RNAcentral. Lineage: Eukaryota; Viridiplantae; Streptophyta; Magnoliopsida; Malpighiales; Euphorbiaceae.
GCAGGAGCUAACUCAAGUUUUUAAAUCUCCAUCUGUUAGCACAGAUUCAUCUUCUGGAUUGAACACCGCUUCUGGUUGUGGUGCUUUGUUGACAAUCCGCAGGGAAGUGCCUGCAGGUAACUUCUCUCCAUUCUUUUCGGACUCGUAUGCAAAAUCACACCGAACAGAUAUAUUUGUGGACUACCAUCGGCUGUUGUUGGAAAACACUUUCCGUCUGCUCUACAGCUUGAUACGACCAGAGAAACACGACAAGGCUGGAGAGAAAGAGAAGCUCUACAAGAUGCCUUCUGGUAAAGAUUUGAAGCUAGAUGGAUAUCAGGAUGUUCU